This 4805-nucleotide non-coding RNA is filed under the name Pongo abelii (Sumatran orangutan). Lineage: Eukaryota; Metazoa; Chordata; Mammalia; Primates; Hominidae. The record is from RNAcentral.
GAAAAAGGAUGGAUGUUCCCUGCCUCUGUAGAAACAGGUACAAUCUUGCAUAAAAUUGCUUGUUAACAUUGAUCUGUGCGUGGAAUCAGUUUGUGUUGCAGGGAAAUGAAGCGUCCUACACGCCUGUGAUCAAAAUGAAUUUCAUCAUCUCAACCUUCUUUUUUUUUAAUGAUAGCAAGACAGUGUCUGGCACACAAAGGAACUGGUUGGGAGCUAAAAAUAGGUAAUGGUAGCAGCAGGGAUUUUUAAUUGACUGGAAGAGACGGCGAAGAUCUGGAAGGUGAAGCCCAAGCUCAUGCUCCUGGCUGAGACUAAGCCCAGGUUUCAGGAUUAGGAAGGAAAACUAAACCACCUGUUGCCACGGAAUGUAGAAACCCUGGCUUUAUUUGGCAGUUCUUGGCUUCUACAAUUCAAUUAAAAAUAUCCUCAUCCUCCAGAGAGUUAUUUUGUUCGUCAGAAUUCAUAACAUGCUCAACAAAGGUCAAGGCGUUUUGGCAAAGUGCAACGUGGCUAAGAAAAUAGAAGAGGAGGAAACUGAUGCAGGACCUGCCAGUGUUCCUGGUGAUGUCAUGUGGACGAAGAAACUCUCUUUUGAGGGGGCCUGGGUAGGGCUGGCUGCCACUCACACCUUGAGACUCAGGUACCAAAAGAACUAAGUUCAAAUUACCCUUACAAUUUAGAUGCCCUGAGCUGAUUUUUCUUUUGCUGGGCUCAGCAGCAUCCCUGUUGGCUGGUUGGUCUCAAGCUGAGGCAUGCAUUGGAAUUGCCUGGUGGGGUUAUUUGUGCACGGAUUGUUGGGCCCCAAGCCCCAGAGUCUGAUUCAGCGGGCCUGGAGCGGGAACUGAGUUUGCAUUGCUAACAAGCUUCCAGGUGAAGCUGAUGCUGCUGGUCCAGGGACCACCCUGUUGGAAGCACUGCUCUAUGCCAAUAACAGUGGAUGGAAUAAGAAAAGGCCGUGGAACUGUUACUUCAAGUCAUGGAGCCUCUUGGUGGCUCAUUUCCUCACCUUGAGAAUGGAGACAACACUGAGAACAUCUACUGUGCAGGGUUGUUGUGAGUGUUAAAAGAGGCAGUGGGUGUGAAGUUCCUGGUAUACAACAGGGCUUAAUACAUGAUCAUUUUCAUUAGGUGUGGGCUGACACGCUUGUCAGUGGACAGGACCCCUCCCUGCCCCACCAACUAAUUCUGCCUGGAAUUGUAUCAUUAGACAGCCAUCCAUCGGCCCUUUAAGAUACACAUACACCAGAGAGAGGAAGCUAAAUCUGGCUCAGACCUCUUGAGACUUACGAAUCAGUUUCUCAGCUGUGCUUUCUUCCCAAAUUGAGAGGGUCGGGGCAUAGCAAAUAACGCCAAGGCCUGAGAGUUGGAAGCACACCCUUCCCCUCUGAGAGGCUUUCUCAUCGGCUGCUUCUUGGGAGAGUGCUGUGGUUUGGGCUGUUUUAGUCUCCAAGGGGAUGGGUGAUUUAUAUCCUUUUAUUCGGCAAACAGCUUUGUACAGAAUGAAUGCCACUUGCUAAAUGUCACCAGGCGGGGGCAGGGGAGCCGUAUAGAAUCCCAAUGAAGCCUUCCAGGCCUGGGAAAAUGGCACCUGGCGACUCGGUUAGUGUGUGUGUUUUCUCUGGCGGGAGUAAAGAAGAUACAGUGAUUCUGAAAUCCAGACUGGCUGGCCAGAGUGGCAGGGAAAUGCAAAGACUCCAGUGCCCACCUCCCCUGCUAGUGCCUGCUACUUCCUGCUUCUCCAUCUUCUCCCUGCCCUUUGCAGGACAGGGCCCUCUCCACCUCAGAGAGAAGCAAGGCAGUCAGUGACCUAUGGACUUUAGGGAGGAGCUCCUUUCUGUGGCGCUGAGUCAGCAUGCCAGGCCUGCAGGGCUACACAAUCAAGCAUGAGGGAUUGCGGCUUUCACCAGGGCAUAUCAGGGCUUAGCUCUGCGCUCAACCUUGCCCAAGCCAGGGUUCUGGCUGGAGGCCCCUUGCUCUUCUCACUCGCUUUCCAUGCUCCUCCUUCUCACCUCUCCCCAUCCACACCUGGUUCUGUAAGUUCCCUGAGACUGUGAGCCAUGCCUCUUCACACACACACACACACACACACCACACACACACACACACAGGUGCCCAGCGUGGCCCCAUUCUCAACACACAAUAAAUAGGUGCUCGAUGUUUGUUGAAUGAAUAACAAAUGGCCAACUCAUUCCCCCAUGAACCCUGGCAACCCAGCACUGCCCUGCAUGAACCCUGGCACCCCAGCACUGCCCUGGGGCCUGUGGGUGGCUCUGGCAGGAUGACAAAGCAUGCCUCAGUGUUUAGGGCAGUGCUACCAAUGCACUAAGAGAUGGGAAAGGUGGUAGAUUCUCAGGACUUGGAGAAACUUUUGCAAUCACAUUGCCCAGCCCUCUCAUUUUAUAGAUGAGGACACCGAGGCCCAGAGAGGUGUCCUGCCAAAGCCACACAGCACAGAGGAGCACAGCCCGGGUCCAGCUAUUUCUCCUGUCACACCACACUGCCUCUUCUCACUGGAAGAGUGUACCAAGGAGGGAGUCUGGCCCCUACCCAUCCCAAGCCUGAUCCCUGCCUAAGAGCGUCUCCACCAGCAGCUCCAGGAGGGAUGAUAAAUUGUCAAAAGCCACCAAGAGUCAGGGGCAGGAACUCAGUUCUACCCAGCUGAGGGCCGUGCAGGGAUUUCAAGGUCCCUGAGCGGAUCCCAGCCCUCACUCACUGAACUCAGUCAGAAAACCACCACGUCAGUGGAUUUAGAAAUGUGACAGGGAUUUCAGAGGGCAAUGGGUUCAGCCCUUACAACCCAGCACCACUCUGCAGGCAUAGAAACGCAGGCCCAGAGGACAGGGGCUUCUCAACAUGGGCACACAGCACCAAGACAGCUCCAUAAAUAGAAGCUAAAUCUCCAAGCUCCCACUCCAGGGAUGCUGACCACUGGGUGGGUGACUCCCCCAGCGUCCAAAUCCUCUCUGGCAGUCCCUUGCUGCUCCAGGGGUGAGGAUGAAAGGGAGAGCUCCUCCCAGGGCCUCCUGGGAGACACUUCUGCUGACUGUCCCCAAGGAGAAAGAGGGGAGAGAAAUGAGGGAGGUCCCUGAAGAAUGGAGACCUUCAAGAAGGAGGCCAAUGUAGGGAACCAGUGGAAGCCAGAAAGAGCACGGGGGCAUGGCAGGGGCUGGAGCCAAUGUCCCAGGGAAGGAGUAGCUGCAAGGCCCUGCCCCUCAGCCUCAGAGGAGCACCAGUCCUGCCCUGCCAUUCUGGACAAGGCGUGAGUGUGAAGAGGCUCUUGCCCGUCCACACUGUCAAGGCUGAGCGGGGACAAAGGCAGCCCCCUGGGGGUCCCUCCCUGCUACUGGACAUUAAAACCAUUUUCUUUGGUUUUAAAGAAACAAUUUUUCUUUGGUCAUGAUUUUGUUGGUAGAUUUAUCUUUAUGGAAUUGUAGUAUUUUCUUGCUCUAAAACCCUCAGUUUAACCCCUUCUUUUUUCUGUCUCACAUUUUUGCCUCCAGCGAUAUGAAAACGAACCUUGGAGAAUGGGAGGGUCCUGGGGGAGGGGGCUGAGGGGCUCUUCACCAGGCAGAGAUGAACCCCAGUGCUGACACAAGCCCUUUCCUUUUCCUGGUUUCUCUUGCCCUGGAGAGUGGCAGGCAGAAAAGGCUUUUUGUCUCUUUGGACCAUUUCUGUAUCCCCUGCUGCCUCAAAUGAAGCCUGGCCUGGGGCGAACUCAAUCAAUGACUCUGACGGGAGACAGGGUUCCGGCCCACUGGGGUGAUGGGCUAAAGAGGGGAUUCUGGUUCCUGUGGACAAUCUGGAAGCUGGAAGCUGUUAGAACUGGAGCGAGGAUUUCACCAAGGAGCUCACAGACAAAGCCCGGGCAGGAACUCUCCAAUCAUCUGGCGGCUGAGGCCCUUUCGCUGGAGGAGGAAAUGGGCCACACCGGUGGGGGUGUCGGGGAUGAAGCCACGUGAGAUCAGGAACUGGAUGCCCUUGUCUGGGUUUCUGGAGGUGGGGGUGGGGAGAAGCAGCAGAGAGUGAGCUGAAGCCAUCCAUGACUCUUUCCUCCCUGUCUUCCACCCAUAGAAGUGCCCAGAGGUUCUUGGAAAUCCAGUUCCCCAUUGGAAGUGUCUCUCACCAGAGCCUCAACCCACUGAAUGUCCUCACACAGAGGAUGGUGUGUGACCAGAAAGAGGACAGGCGAGGUCUGCAAACAAAGUCCCCACCGCAGACGCCCCAACCCUGGAAAGAGGGUGGGAGAAACAGAGGUGAGACCUCCGCCACACCACCUCUUCCCUUUGCAAGCUUUGAAGCCAUGCUGCUCCCUGAGCUGUUUCUCACAGGUCCAGGAAGAGAUAAGUACAGAAACACAAGGUCUGCCGAGUACUAGCUAUUUCAUCGUGUGCAGCUCGCCUUACUGGUGUGAGCCGGCUUCCUUUUCUGUAAAACAGCGUGGUAAUACCUCUGUGUAGAUACUGCUGGGAAGAUUACAGAUGCUUUAUGUAAGCCCUCCCCUCUCCUGCUCUCUGCUGACACUCUUUACAAGGCGCCUCUCCUGCCUCCCCCACCCAGCCUCGCAUUUCACCAACCCUGGGAGCUAAUGCGUUUUCCCUGGCUUCAUAUCCACCCGAAUGAUUGCUGCUUAAUCCUCAAACGGCCUGAACUGUUAUUUACUUAAUACUGUCUUUUCUUUUACAUUCUCUUACUUUUCAAACCCUAGCUUCAUCUUAAACUGUAACAGUUGUGAAAGCAUGUGUUUGAUGUGUUCUUUUCUUCCUUUAAUCUUUCUUAAAAUAAACUCAGAAUGAUUAAAAAUACAA